UCGGGAAUUUUGCCCAAUGAGCGAAAGCUUGAGGCAGCAACUCCGCGUGAGGGAUGAAGGCUCUAGGGUCGUAAACCUCUUUUCUCAGGGAAGAUACAAGACGGUACCUGAGGAAUAAGGAUCGGCUAACUCCGUGCCAGCAGCCGCGGUCAUACGGGGGAUCCAAGCGUUAUCCGGAAUUACUGGGCGUAAAGAGUUGCGUAGGUGGCAUAGUAAGCAAAUAGUGAAAUCGUGGGGCUCAACCCCAUAUACAUUAUUUGAACUGCUAAGCUAGAGGACGAGAGAGGUCGCUGGAAUUCCUAGUGUAGGAGUGAAAUCCGUAGAUAUUAGGAGGAACACCGAUGGCGUAGGCAGGCGACUGGCUCGUUCCUGACACUGAGGCACGAAAGCGUGGGGAGCAAA
Molecule: ribosomal RNA, 402 nt
Filed under: uncultured bacterium
Lineage: Bacteria
Description: bacterial SSU rRNA
Rfam family: Bacterial small subunit ribosomal RNA
Source: RNAcentral